CGUAGCCGACCUGAGAGGGUGAUCGGCCACACUGGAACUGAGACACGGUCCAGACUCCUACGGGAGGCAGCAGUAGGGAAUCUUCCGCAAUGGACGAAAGUCUGACGGAGCAACGCCGCGUGAACGAAGAAGGUUUUCGGAUCGUAAAGUUCUGUUGUUAGGGAAGAACACGUACCAUUCGAAUAGGAUGGUACCUUGACGGUACCUAACGAGAAAGCCCCGGCUAACUACGUGCCAGCAGCCGCGGUAAUACGUAGGGGGCAAGCGUUGUCCGGAAUUAUUGGGCGUAAAGGGCUCGCAGGCGGUUUUUUAAGUCUGAUGUGAAAUCUUGCGGCUCAACCGUAAGCGGUCAUUGGAAACUGAAGAACUUGAGGACAGAAGAGGAGAGUGGAAUUCCACGUGUAGCGGUGAAAUGCGUAGAGAUGUGGAGGAACACCAGUGGCGAAGGCGACUCUCUGGUCUGUCACUGACGCUGAGGAGCGAAAGCGUGGGUAGCAAAC
This 500-nucleotide ribosomal RNA is filed under the name uncultured bacterium. RNAcentral describes it as "bacterial SSU rRNA". It matches the Rfam family "Bacterial small subunit ribosomal RNA", at positions 282 to 773 of the family's 1533-position model. The record is from RNAcentral.